This 416-nucleotide ribosomal RNA is filed under the name Libellula semifasciata (painted skimmer). RNAcentral's name for it is "partial 16S ribosomal RNA". The record is from RNAcentral. Lineage: Eukaryota; Metazoa; Arthropoda; Insecta; Odonata; Libellulidae.
UUACGCUGUUAUCCCUAAGGUAACUUAGUCUAAUAAUCAAUAAUAAUGGAUCUAAUAUUCAUAUAUCAAUGUUAUAUAAAUAAAAAAGUUAAAUAUAUAUUUUUGUCACCCCAACAAAACACGAAAUAAACCUAAAAAUAAGGAUAUAUAAAUAUUUAAGUAAUUUCGUGUAAAGAUCUAUAGGGUCUUCUCGUCUUCCAAUAGAAUUUUAGCUUUUUAACUAAAAAAUUAAAUUUUAAAACAAAUAAAAUGAGACAGUCAGUUCCUCGUUAAACCUUUCAUUCCAGCCCUCUAUUAAAAGACUAAUGAUUAUGCUACCUUUGCACGGUCAAUAUACCGCGGCCGUUGAAGAUUCCUCACUGGGCAGGUCAGACCUUCAAUUUAACUCUAAAGGACAUGUUUUUGUUAAACAGGCG